UCUUUCAGGCUGCGAGUUGUAAUUUGAAGACGUAUUUUGAAGUAAGCACAUGUCGAAGUUCCUUGGAACAGGACGUCACAGAGGGUGAGAAUCCCGUGCGAUGUGUUCACUGCUUCAUGUAAAAUGCAGUCGAAGAGUCGAGUUGUUUGGGAAUGCAGCUCUAAGUGGGUGGUAAAUUCCAUCUAAAGCUAAAUAUUGGCGAGAGACCGAUAGCGAACAAGUACAGUGAUGGAAAGAUGAAAAGAACUUUGAAAAGAGAGUGAAAAAGUACGUGAAAUUGUUGAAAGGGAAGGGCUUGAGAUCAGACUCGGGCAACCGGGCCAGCAUGGGGUGGGGGAGUAGGAUAACCCUGCAGGAAAGUGGCUUCGCUUCG
This 373-nucleotide ribosomal RNA is filed under the name Hyphopichia burtonii. RNAcentral describes it as "LSU rRNA". It matches the Rfam family "Eukaryotic large subunit ribosomal RNA", at positions 127 to 498 of the family's 3401-position model. Lineage: Eukaryota; Fungi; Ascomycota; Pichiomycetes; Serinales; Debaryomycetaceae. The record is from RNAcentral.